UGGGGAAUAUUGCGCAAUGGGCGAAAGCCUGACGCAGCGACGCCGCGUGAGGGACGAAGGCCUUCGGGUUGUAAACCUCUUUCAGCAGGGACGAAGCGAGAGUGACGGUACCUGCAGAAGAAGCACCGGCCAACUACGUGCCAGCAGCCGCGGUAAUACGUAGGGUGCAAGCGUUGUCCGGAAUCAUUGGGCGUAAAGAGCUCGUAGGCGGUCUGUCACGUCGGCUGUGAAAAUCCGGGGCUCAACCCCGGACCUGCAGUCGAUACGGGCAGACUAGAGUUCGGUAGGGGAGACUGGAAUUCCUGGUGUAGCGGUGAAAUGCGCAGAUAUCAGGAGGAACACCGGUGGCGAAGGCGGGUCUCUGGGCCGAAACUGACGCUGAGGAGCGAAAGCGUGGGGAGCGAACAG
This 408-nucleotide ribosomal RNA is filed under the name uncultured bacterium. Its description in RNAcentral is "bacterial SSU rRNA". It matches the Rfam family "Bacterial small subunit ribosomal RNA", at positions 355 to 775 of the family's 1533-position model. The record is from RNAcentral.